ACCGGUUGAUCCUGCCGGAGCCUACUGUUAUUGGGUUAGGACUAAGCCAUGCUAGUCAAGGUGUGAACUAUGUCACGUCUGGCGAAAUGCUUCGUAACGCGUAGUUAACCUACCCUCGGAACGGCUGACAACAGGGGGAAACUCCUGCUAAUCUCCGAUAGACUAAUCAUGUUGGAAUACAGGUUAGUCCAAAACGUGCACCGCAUGUGGUGUUACGGUCCGAGGAUGGGACUGCGUUCCAUUAGGUAGUUGGUGGUGUAACGGACCACCAAGCCGAGGAUGGAUAGGGGCCGUGAGAGCGGUAGCCCCAAGAUGGCCACUGAGACAACGGGCCAGGCCCUACGGGGUGCAGCAGGUACGAAACCUCACCAAUGCACGAAAGUGUGAGUGGGCUAACCCAAGUGCUACCCGUCGUGGUAGCUUUUAACGAGUGUAAAUAGCUCGUAGAAUAAGGAGAGGACAAGACUGGUGCCAGCCCCCGCGGUAAAACCAGCUCUUCGAAUGGUAGGCAUGAUUAUUGGGCCUAAGGCGUACGUAGCCUGGCUUGCAAGUCUCCAGAUAAAGCUCACGUCUUAAGCGUGAAAUCCCUGGGGAUACUACAGGCCUUGGGACCGGGAUAGGGCAAGGGUACGUGUCCGGUAGGGGUGAAAUCCUAUAAUCGGAUACGGACCACCGGUGGCGAAGGCGCUUGCCUGGGACGGGUCCGACGGUGAGGUACGAAAGCCAGGGUAGCGAGCCGGAUUAGAUACCCGGGUAGUCCUGGCCGUAAACGAUGCGGGUUAGGUGUUGCGGCGCACACGAAGCGUCGCGGUGCCGAAGCGAAGGCGUUAAACCUGCCGCCUGGGAAGUACGCUCGCAAGGGUGAAACUUAAAGGAAUUGGCGGGGGAGCACCACAAGGGGUGGAGCCUGCGGUUUAAUUGGACCCAACGCCGGAAAGCUUACCGGUUCAGACAGCAUUAUGAAAGUCAGGUUAAAGGCCUUACUUGAAGAGCUGAGAGGAGGUGCAUGGCCGUCGCCAGCUCGUGCCGUGAGGUGUCCUGUUAAGUCAGGCAACGAGCGAGACCGGAACCCUUAGUUGCCAGCGACAAGUACGCUUGGUCGGGUAUACUAAGGGGACCGCCAGUGAUGAAACUGGAGGAAGGAUCCGUCCACGGCAGGUCAGUAUGCCCCGAUAGAACCGGGCCACACGCGGGCUACAAUGGCACAGACAAUAGGUCCCGAUACCGAAAGGUAAAGGUAAUCCCGAAACUGUGUCUCAGUUGGAAUUGAGGCUUGAAACUCAGCCUCAUGAACUUGGAAUCCCUAGUAGUCGCAUGUCAUCAUCGUGCGGCGAAUACGUCCCUGCUCCUUGCACACACCGCCCGUCGCAGCAUGCGAGGCGGGUUGACCUGAGGCGGCUGUC
This 1403-nucleotide ribosomal RNA is filed under the name metagenome. Its description in RNAcentral is "bacterial SSU rRNA". It matches the Rfam family "Archaeal small subunit ribosomal RNA". The record is from RNAcentral.